Molecule: long non-coding RNA, 363 nt
Filed under: Musa acuminata (dwarf banana)
Lineage: Eukaryota; Viridiplantae; Streptophyta; Magnoliopsida; Zingiberales; Musaceae
Description: long non-coding RNA (MACU_LNC005372)
Source: RNAcentral
UGGUAUCAGAACAGCGUUCUUGGCUUCUCGCUGCCCUUCCACUGCCAUCCAUCAACCCUCCACAACCGCCCAAAGCAAUUCCCACAAUUGCUUAAAAGAUCGUCGCCAAAUUCCACCGUCAUCUCCACCACCGCAGAUCAUCCUUUGAUCUCCCUAUGAAUUGCAACAGGUUCUGGUUUCCUACCUUACUGCUACUGCAAUUUAGUUAUCCCUAUUCGAAAAUCCAAAAAAAAAAAAAAUUUCGUUUCUAUAUUGCUGCAAAUUUCAUCGUAAGUUGUUGAAAUUUUUCGACGAGAAUUCUGCUAUCGCAACUUACACCAAUUUUCUUGCUGUUACUGCUGAAAUUUUCUUGAUUAAAUUGGA